AAGAGGCAGCCUCAGCGAAUGUUCAGGGUAGGAGCUGCAGGCAAGGCUCCGGGCACCCAGUGAGGCCUCUUUGUUACUGAAAAGUCCUAUGAGCCAUAUUCUCGUGCCAGGAUAAACACUAGAAGCCCUUGGGGAUGACCUUUAGCCUGGAUGGAACGGGUUCAAGUUAGAGAAAGGAUCAAGUGCAGAAGUCGCCGGGCAAAGGACUGUUUGGCCGUGACAGAGUGGAGAGGCUGGUGUGGCUGCAGCAGCUGUCCAGGAGCAGAGUGGGAGGAGGUGGCCAAAGCACGUCGGCAGAUUGUUCCUAAGCCUGUGAUUAAAGGGAGGAUAUGGAUUUGUCUCGGUUCUGUCUUUUCAAAAGGAGGAUUUAUUGAAGGGUUUAAUCAAGGGUGGGGCAUUAGUAGGUUUCUACCCAGAGAAAUUGAUCUGGAUACUCUGUGGUCCAGUAAGGAUGGCUCAAGGUGAAACGUCUACAUUUGAGUGACAGCUCGAGUAGCUAGAGAACCUGACAGUGACAGCGUUGGGGACAGUCAGAUCCUGCAUGUAUUCAAGAGAUGACGUCGGGAGGAUGCUGAUGGGUCAGCUCUGGGUUGCAAAAGGAGGAGGCCAUCAAAUCCACCUGGAAUGUACGUCCAGCACCUCCUGCAUGCUCUGUCAUGGUGGAGAAUAAAUGUACACAUUGACUGAGGCGUGUCCAGCACCUCCGGUAUGCUUUGUCAUGGUGGAGAGUAAAUGUACGCAUUGACUGAGGCAUGUCCAGCACCUCCUGCAUGCUCUGUCAUGGUGGAGAGUAAAUGUACGCAUUGACUGAGGCAUGUCCAGCACCUCCCGCAUGCUCUGUCAUGGUGGAGAGUAAAUGUACGCAUUGACUGAGGCAUGUCCAGCACCUCCUGCAUGCUCUGUCAUGGUGGAGAAUAAAUGUACGCAUUGACUGAGGCAUGUCCAGCACCUCCUGCAUGCUCUGUCAUGGUGGAGAGUAAAUGUACGCAUUGACUGAGGCAUGUCCAGCACCUCCCGCAUGCUCUGUCAUGGUGGAGAGUAAAUGUACGCAUUGACUGAGGCAUGUCCAGCACCUCCUGCAUGCUCUGUCAUGGUGGAGAAUAAAUGUACGCAUUGACUGAGGCGUUAUGUCCCAUCCUUCUCUGACAGUCAUUUUUCAUUUUCCCACGUUGCAGAUGGUUUUAUUAUUUUAUUGAAUGUGUAUGGGUGUUUAGCCUGCAUGUGUAUAUGUGUACCCCAUGCCUAGUGCCCAUGGAGUUCAGAAAAGGGUUUCAGAUCCCCUGGGACUGGAGUUACAGAUGGUUGUGAGCCACCAUGUGGGUGCUGGGAAUCAAACCCAGGUCCUCUGCAAGAGCGGCCAGUGCUCUUCACUGCGGAGCCAGCUCUCAGGCUUGCUGGGUUUUGUUUUGUUUUGUUUGUUUUUUCUGUCUAAAUUUUGUCAAAAUUGGUCUUCAUUUUAAUGUAAUAUAAAAUGCAUUCAUUUUAAAAUUGUACAGCUCUGACCACAGAGUGAAAAGUAAGGUAAGUUGCUCGUUCCCAGGAAAGUCUGGAUGCUGUGGGUCCCCUGUGUCCUGUUGAAGUGUCCAGCUCCUAGCACACGGAGACAUGCCAGGUUAGCAAGAGUCCUUCCUCCUGAGCCCCCCACCUCUCUUACUGAUGUUCUGUUUUCUGCUCUCCCAGUCCAGGGCCGCUUUUCCUGUCAGCUCCCCACCUGUGAGAAGCCCUGCGGGGACAACAGGCCAUAAAAGUCAUGAAAACUUUUAAUCCCAGCACUCAGGAGGCAGAGCCAGGAGGAUCUCUGUGAGUUCGAGGCCAGCCUGGUCUACAGAGCAAGAUCCAGGACAGGCAGAGCUACACAGUGAAACCUUAUCUCAAAAAACCAAAAGAGAAAAGGAAGGAAGGAAGGAAGGAAGGAAGGAAGGAAGGAAGGAAGGAAGGAAGGGAGGAAUUUAAAUGUCUGAGCACUUGGUAAGAUACUGACAGGGACUUGAGAACUUCUGGCAGAAAAGCCCGAUUUUGCCUGUAGGUGUCCUCUCUUCACUGAAUUACCGUGACCUUCUGUCAGAGCCGGGGUUCUGGCUGGGAACCUCUGUGUCCAUUACAGAUGACCUGCGCCUCCCGUGUAUGUCUAACCUCUGCUCCGAGCCCUGCUGUUCUUACUCUCCAAGAGCAGCAUACUCUCUAAAAAAGGUCAGAGGAAAAACCCUUCCGGUGCUGAGUCCUGCGGCCUCUGACACAGCUGUUUAGCCCUAAGGUGGAGUGUGAGGUGCAUCAGCCGCAGACAGGGCCCUGGCGUGGCUGACUCCUGGAAAAGCUGCACAACCCGCAGCUCGUGGGGCGAAGGCUGCUCCACCUUCCUGAACCUCGAGUGGGGCAGAUCGGCAUUGUGCUCAGCUCUCACAGAAAGCUGGGCUCAGAAAAGUCUUCUCUGUGGGCCGCGUUCAGGAGCCGUUCGCUAUACACCCAUUGCUGUAAAUAAUCUAAAAGGUAGGAUUCCACUUCCUUGAUGACGCCCCUCUUCUGUCUGUUUAAAAAGAAAAACAAAAAUGAAUAAAAAAAUCUGAACAGUGGUCAAACCGAGGGCUGAGGCUAUGGCUCAGACAGUCAAGAGCCUGCCUUCCAUGCCCAGGGCUCUGGGUUCAGUCCUCAGUAGCUAGAAAGUAAAAAAGACAUCAAACCUAGAGCACUGUGGACGCUAGCAAGGCGCCGCACCCACUGACUGGAUCUCACCCUCCCACAAGUGGAGGUGCUCUUCCCAGGCCCUGAGUCUGGGGGUGUGCUGUAGUGACCUCCAGGGAAGGCGUGUGUUGUUGAUGGCUGCGGAACUAGCCACAUGGGACGAUACAGAUAAAGACCGCCUAUCAGGCAAAGCAUACUCAAGUGCUCCCGGCCACACAGCUUUGCUCCUUGCCUGCAGUAUGCCGUUCUAGUCUCCAGUUUUAUCUGGCUCACGUUUAUUAAAGGUCUCCUGUGCAUAAAGCAUUGUCUCCCGAGCAUGUUAUUCUAGGGAAAAAGAAAUACUCUGGUGGAAAUAAUUAAAUUCUGCUGCCAUAGAGUGCCCAUUCCCUGCCAUGUAGAAGCUGUUGAAUAAAUAUCUGUGGCUGAAUUAAUAUCAUCCAUUAAAGUGAAUUCAGACUCUUGCUUGCUCGUUACUCGCAUGGAGUUAAACAUGAAUCAGUGGAUAGAAAAAAGAAAAGGAAAAAAGCCAAAACUGGUGUUCAACCCAAGUCCAAAGCACCUGUGAUGUCCACUGAGGUUAUCAAGAUUACUGAAAUACACUGUCCUUCGCGUGUCUUCAUCUAUUUAGGAAAAAAGGACUGAGAGCUGUUUGAGGCCAGAACCAGGCAGAUGUUUGUGCAGAACCCAUUUGUCUUUAUGAGCCUCACUAAGUGUCCAGCGACCCUGUAACAGGACCUCUCCCAUGCAGAACUUGUUUUCCUUUAUGAGUCCUACUAAGUGUUCAGUGACCCUGUAACAGGACCUCUCCCAUGGGAGACUUAAAUGGUACUUCUUUAUGUUCAAAGUUUUUUUUUUUUUAAUCUAAGAGAAAUUAAAGGAUUUUUUUUUUUUGCAGGAAGACCUUUUUUCCUGUCUUUACAUCAGAAACGAGGCCUUGGCUGGAGAGACCUGUGGCCAGAGAGAGAUCUUACUUCUUUCAUAACAUACAAGGCAGGUGUGGUACGUGUGCCUGUUAACCCAGCACUUGGAAAGCUGAGGCAAGAGGAGUGUUGGAUCAAUCCUGGCUCCAUGGCAGGACCCUAAUAAUUAACUGAACUAACCUGCAGAUGACACGUGCAGUCCUUUCCGACCCACACAGUACAACUCCCAGUGCUGGUGUGCUGAGGAGCCGGUGAGGAGCCAGCCUGGAUGACGGGAUUGCUGGGUGGUGAGGAGCCGGUGAGGAGCCAGCCUGGAUGACGGGAUUGCUGGGUGGUGAGGAGCCGGUGAGGAGCCAGCCUGGAUGACGGGAUUGCUGGGUGCUGAGGAGCCGGUGAGGAGCCAGCCUGGAUGACGGGAUUGCUGGGCUGCUCUAGGGCAGUGGUGGAAGAUGGAGGGGAAAGGACUGGUAAUUGGUUGGUUAGCCGUGACAAAUCCCAGACUUGGGAGCUUAAACAGCAGACACAUGGCUCUCACAGCUGUGGAGGCUGAUGCCCAAGGCCAGGAUGUUGUCAAGAUCGGGUUCCAGCCGGGCAGUGGUGCACGCCUUUAAUCCCAGCACUCGGGAGGCAGAGGCAGGCGGAUUUCUGUGAGUUCGAAGCCAGCCUGGUCUACAGAGCGAGAUCCAGGACACAGAGAAAGCCAGUCUGGAAAAACAAAGAAUAAAAGACUGGGUUCUGAUGAAGGCUGUCUUGGUUUAUGUGUCUGUGUCUACUGUUCUGUUCCUUUUGCUUGGCUGCCUGGUGGUUUGGUUUUGUUUGGGGGCUU
Peromyscus eremicus (cactus mouse) is the source of this 4425-nucleotide long non-coding RNA. RefSeq lists it as uncharacterized. Lineage: Eukaryota; Metazoa; Chordata; Mammalia; Rodentia; Cricetidae. The record is from RefSeq and is a predicted model, not a curated record. The transcript is spliced from 3 exons.